Pygoscelis adeliae (Adelie penguin) is the source of this 291-nucleotide long non-coding RNA. RefSeq lists it as uncharacterized. The transcript has 4 exons. The record is from RefSeq and is a predicted model, not a curated record. NCBI's taxonomy places the organism in Eukaryota, Metazoa, Chordata, Aves, Sphenisciformes, Spheniscidae.
CCGAGCGGCAGCGCCUGGAGCGGGAGAAGCACUUCCAGCGUGAGGAGCAGGAGCGGCUGGAGAGGAAGAAGCGCCUGGAGGAGAUCAUGAAGAGGACGCGCAAGUCGGACGCAGCGGAUGCCAAGAAGAAGGAGGACAAGAAGGUGGUGAAUGGGAAAGCGGCCGAGCAGGAGGAUGUCCCAGGCCGUGAGAAGCGCGCGGGGCCAAUGCCAAAGGAGGAGGAACUCCCUGAGACUGAGACGCCGAGUGCGGGGAUGCCGGGGGGGCCGAAGGGCCUGGCAGGCGAGGGGC